This 492-nucleotide ribosomal RNA is filed under the name uncultured bacterium. RNAcentral describes it as "partial 16S ribosomal RNA". It matches the Rfam family "Bacterial small subunit ribosomal RNA", at positions 29 to 507 of the family's 1533-position model. The record is from RNAcentral.
AGUGAACGCUGGCGGUAGGCCUAACACAUGCAAGUCGAACGGCAGCACAGUAAGAGCUUGCUCUUACGGGUGGCGAGUGGCGGACAGGUGAGGAAUACAUCGGAAUCUACUUUUUCGUGGGUGAUAACGUAGGGAAUCUUACGCUAAUACCGCAUACGACCUACGGGUGAAAGCAGGGGAUCUUCGGACCUUGCGCGAUUGAAUGAGCCGAUGUCGGAUUAGCUAGUUGGCGGGGUAAAGGCCCACCAAGGCGACGAUCCGUAGCUGGUCUGAGAGGAUGAUCAGCCACACUGGAACUGAGACACGGUCCAGACUCCUACGGGAGGCAGCAGUGGGGAAUAUUGGACAAUGGGCGCAAGCCUGAUCCAGCCAUACCGCGUGGGUGAAGAAGGCCUUCGGGUUGUAAAGCCCUUUUGUUGGGAAAGAAAAGCAGCAGGUUAAUACCCCGCUGUUCUGACGGUACCAAAAGAAUAAGCACCGGCUAACUUCGUG